CAGUAUCCACAUUAUUGACUUCCAGAUUGCUCAAGGGACCCAAUGGAUCACUCUGAUACAAGCAUUAGCUGCAAGACCCGGAGGUCCGCCACAUGUGCGGAUCACAGGGAUUGACGAUCCAGUGGCGGAGUAUGCUCGAGGAGGUGGCCUGGAUAUGGUUGGGAAGUUGUUGUCGGACAUGUCCAACAAGUUCAACAUUCCGCUCGAGUUCAAAGGUUUGCCUGUGUAUGGGCCUGAGGUCACGAGAGAGAUGUUGGACAUAAGGCCUGGGGAAGCACUCGCCGUCAACUUCACUCUCCAGCUCCACCACACGCCCGACGAGAGCGU
This 327-nucleotide long non-coding RNA is filed under the name Musa acuminata (dwarf banana). Its description in RNAcentral is "long non-coding RNA (MACU_LNC005098)". The record is from RNAcentral. Lineage: Eukaryota; Viridiplantae; Streptophyta; Magnoliopsida; Zingiberales; Musaceae.